UUGGAGGGCAGUCUGGUGCCAGCAGCCGCGGUAAUUCCAGCUCCAAUAGCGUAUAUUAAAAUUGUUGCAGUUAAAAAGCUCGUAGUUGAAUUUCGGGGUUCUACCGUUGGUCGGGCUUUGUCUGUACUGGUGUGUAGAAUUUCUACCUUCUGGGGAACCAUCAUGCUAUUAAUUUAGCGUGGUGGGAAACCAGGACCUUUACCUUGAAAAAAUUAGUGUGUUCAAAGCAGGCUUAUGUCUGAAUACAUUAGCGUGGAAUAAUAGAAUAGGACGGUGGUCCUGUUUUGUUGGUUUCUGAAUCACCGUAAUGAUUAAUAGGGAUAGUUGGGGGCAUUAGUAUUCAAUUGUCAGAGGUGAAAUUCUUGGAUUUAUUGAAGACUAACUUCUGCGAAAGCAUUUGCCAAGGAUGUUUUCAUUAAUCAAGAACGAAAGUUAGGGGAUCGAAGACGAUCAGAUACCGUCGUAGUCUUAACCAUAAACUAUGCCGACUAGGGAUCGGACGAUGUUAAUUUUUCUUGACUCGUUCGGCGCCUUACGGGAAAC
Molecule: ribosomal RNA, 543 nt
Filed under: uncultured Glomeromycotina
Lineage: Eukaryota; Fungi; Glomeromycota
Description: SSU rRNA
Rfam family: Eukaryotic small subunit ribosomal RNA
Source: RNAcentral